Molecule: ribosomal RNA, 553 nt
Filed under: uncultured bacterium
Lineage: Bacteria
Description: bacterial SSU rRNA
Rfam family: Bacterial small subunit ribosomal RNA
Source: RNAcentral
ACGGCAGCGCGGGGCAACCUGGCGGCGAGUGGCGAACGGGUGAGUAAUAUAUCGGAACGUACCCUGGAGUGGGGGAUAACGUAGCGAAAGUUACGCUAAUACCGCAUACGAUCCAAGGAUGAAAGCAGGGGACCGCAAGGCCUUGUGCUCCUGGAGCGGCCGAUAUCUGAUUAGCUAGUUGGUGGGGUAAAGGCCCACCAAGGCAUCGAUCAGUAGCUGGUCUGAGAGGACGACCAGCCACACUGGAACUGAGACACGGUCCAGACUCCUACGGGAGGCAGCAGUGGGGAAUUUUGGACAAUGGGCGCAAGCCUGAUCCAGCAAUGCCGCGUGAGUGAAGAAGGCCUUCGGGUUGUAAAGCUCUUUUGUCAGGGAAGAAACGGUGGAGGCUAAUAUCCUUUGCUAAUGACGGUACCUGAAGAAUAAGCACCGGCUAACUACGUGCCAGCAGCCGCGGUAAUACGUAGGGUGCAAGCGUUAAUCGGAAUUACUGGGCGUAAAGCGUGCGCAGGCGGUUUUGUAAGUUUGUCGUGAAAUCCCCGGGCUCAACCUG